CUGCGAAGGGCAUCCCUUACCCCACUCAGCCUUGCCCCUCUCUGCAUUCUGUUUUGUCUGUCAGCCGCUCGAUUCGUCGCGCGCGUCACAGCGAACCUCCAUGAGCGUCGAGGAGCUGCAGCCAAGUUCGCCGGUGGCAGUGAACGAUGACGCCGAGGACGUGGUGGAAGCGGAGUUGGUCGCUUACGACGCACAUCACACGCACCUCGUCGAAGGCGACUUUUUCCCGGCCGAGGCGCCGGAGGUCGAGGCUGAUGGAGCAGUCGCUGACGCUACUGAAGAAGUCGACGCGCUCGUUGACGCGAUUGCCGCCGAAGCAGCGGCAGUGGCCGCAGUGUCGGUGGUGUCAACACCGCCAAAGCCGGCCGAAGCGCCGUCCCGCAAGCGGGUUUGCUGGGCCGAUGAGGGUCACACCGACACCGCCCGCGGCCUGGUGAAGCACGUCACGAACUUCUACAUGCCCAACACCUUCUCACGCGGCUCCCGUUACGACGCCGCCGACCAAGCUAGCCCUACGCGGCCGACCAACGCGACGGCCGUCAAUCCAACCCCACCCCUGUUCCGGGAGAAGGUGAACUCGGACGAAACCAGGUACAAGUUCUGUAAGGCGCAACGGCCAGCGCUGCAAUACGCGGAAUGGAGGCGGCAGCAGCAUGAGUAUGGCGCCACACCCUUCGAGCUUCAGCCGGUCGAUGCCGGACAGCUGACUGGCAGCGUGAGCAUCGCCACAAGGACUCUGUUUGGUGAGCUCUUCCAGCGCAGCGUCGUCGCCCGCGUGGCUGAAGGACAGGUGCGAACACGCAACGGAACGCACCACAACAGUCAAGACAACGGCUUCCAGCAGCCCUUCGUGCGCAUCGACGCGACGUUCGACGAGCCUCUCCCAAUCCCGUUGUAGUAACGGGGGCGUGUGGCGUUUGGCUCGUGUUUCCACUUUGUGUGCGCUUGGGGCCGCUUGCCGCCCGGGCUUGCCACGCCCCAUC
This 983-nucleotide unclassified non-coding RNA is filed under the name Leishmania donovani. RNAcentral describes it as "gene:LdHU3.33.2090(CDS-product:hypothetical_prote in_conserved)". Lineage: Eukaryota; Euglenozoa; Kinetoplastea; Trypanosomatida; Trypanosomatidae. The record is from RNAcentral.